Molecule: ribosomal RNA, 1508 nt
Filed under: Helicobacter pylori
Lineage: Bacteria; Pseudomonadati; Campylobacterota; Epsilonproteobacteria; Campylobacterales; Helicobacteraceae
Description: bacterial SSU rRNA
Rfam family: Bacterial small subunit ribosomal RNA
Source: RNAcentral
UUUAUGGAGAGUUUGAUCCUGGCUCAGAGUGAACGCUGGCGGCGUGCCUAAUACAUGCAAGUCGAACGAUGAAGCUUCUAGCUUGCUAGAAGUGGAUUAGUGGCGCACGGGUGAGUAACGCAUAGGUUAUGUGCCUCUUAGUUUGGGAUAGCCAUUGGAAACGAUGAUUAAUACCAGAUACUCCCUACGGGGGAAAGAUUUAUCGCUAAGAGAUCAGCCUAUGUCCUAUCAGCUUGUUGGUAAGGUAAUGGCUUACCAAGGCUAUGACGGGUAUCCGGCCUGAGAGGGUGAACGGACACACUGGAACUGAGACACGGUCCAGACUCCUACGGGAGGCAGCAGUAGGGAAUAUUGCUCAAUGGGGGAAACCCUGAAGCAGCAACGCCGCGUGGAGGAUGAAGGUUUUAGGAUUGUAAACUCCUUUUGUUAGAGAAGAUAAUGACGGUAUCUAACGAAUAAGCACCGGCUAACUCCGUGCCAGCAGCCGCGGUAAUACGGAGGGUGCAAGCGUUACUCGGAAUCACUGGGCGUAAAGAGCGCGUAGGCGGGAUAGUCAGUCAGGUGUGAAAUCCUAUGGCUUAACCAUAGAACUGCAUUUGAAACUACUAUUCUAGAGUGUGGGAGAGGUAGGUGGAAUUCUUGGUGUAGGGGUAAAAUCCGUAGAGAUCAAGAGGAAUACUCAUUGCGAAGGCGACCUGCUGGAACAUUACUGACGCUGAUUGCGCGAAAGCGUGGGGAGCAAACAGGAUUAGAUACCCUGGUAGUCCACGCCCUAAACGAUGGAUGCUAGUUGUUGGAGGGCUUAGUCUCUCCAGUAAUGCAGCUAACGCAUUAAGCAUCCCGCCUGGGGAGUACGGUCGCAAGAUUAAAACUCAAAGGAAUAGACGGGGACCCGCACAAGCGGUGGAGCAUGUGGUUUAAUUCGAAGAUACACGAAGAACCUUACCUAGGCUUGACAUUGAGAGAAUCCGCUAGAAAUAGUGGAGUGUCUAGCUUGCUAGACCUUGAAAACAGGUGCUGCACGGCUGUCGUCAGCUCGUGUCGUGAGAUGUUGGGUUAAGUCCCGCAACGAGCGCAACCCCCUUUCUUAGUUGCUAACAGGUCAUGCUGAGAACUCUAAGGAUACUGCCUCCGUAAGGAGGAGGAAGGUGGGGACGACGUCAAGUCAUCAUGGCCCUUACGCCUAGGGCUACACACGUGCUACAAUGGGGUGCACAAAGAGAAGCAAUACUGCGAAGUGGAGCCAAUCUUCAAAACGCCUCUCAGUUCGGAUUGUAGGCUGCAACUCGCCUGCAUGAAGCUGGAAUCGCUAGUAAUCGCAAAUCAGCCAUGUUGCGGUGAAUACGUUCCCGGGUCUUGUACUCACCGCCCGUCACACCAUGGGAGUUGUGUUUGCCUUAAGUCAGGAUGCUAAAUUAGCUACUGCCCACGGCACACACAGCGACUGGGGUGAAGUCGUAACAAGGUAACCGUAGGUGAACCUGCGGUUGGAUCACCUCCUUUCUAGA